CAGUACCGCGGGAAUACGUAGGGUGCAAGCGUUAAUCGGAAUUACUGGGCGUAAAGCGUGCGCAGGCGGUUAUAUAAGACAGAUGUGAAAUCCCCGGGCUCAACCUGGGAACUGCAUUUGUGACUGUAUAGCUAGAGUACGGCAGAGGGGGAUGGAAUUCCGCGUGUAGCAGUGAAAUGCGUAGAUAUGCGGAGGAACACCGAUGGCGAAGGCAAUCCCCUGGGCCUGUACUGACGCUCAUGCACGAAAGCGUGGGGAGCAAACAGGAUUAGAGACCCCAGUAGUCCCUGUCUCUUAUACA
RNAcentral lists this ribosomal RNA (301 nucleotides) under uncultured bacterium. RNAcentral describes it as "partial 16S ribosomal RNA". It matches the Rfam family "Bacterial small subunit ribosomal RNA", at positions 509 to 808 of the family's 1533-position model. The record is from RNAcentral.